UUUAAGUGAUAUCUUUGCUGGGUAAAUCUGUCUUGGUUGUAGGUCCUUGCUUUCGAUCACUUUAAAUAUUUCGUGCCAUUCCCUGUGGCCUGCUCAGUUUAAAAACAACCCUUUUCUUUUUUAAUGUCACUUAAAUGAUUCCACAGACUUCAUGGAUGUCAAGUCUGGUGAAGCUAAUUUCAAAAGUUGCUGGUUUUUUAAAUGGUUGAUCAAGGCUUAUAAAAUUGCAGACUGUUUCCUAACUCUGGGAGACAUGGUGGUGCAAUUCUCUAACCAUGAGAGAUUCUGAAAUAGCAAUGACAGUGUCCCAGUUUGCCCAGAAUGCAGCACAUAUCCAAACAAAUUACAAAAGAAUGCAGCUUUCUCUCUCUAGGAAAAGUCUGGCAGGAGCCAGUCCUCGCAGUGUUUCUGCCUCCAGGAAGAAAAGUCUAAGCUUAGCUCUUGGCCUGACUCCCUGAUGGUCAGCGGAGCCCCCUUGGAGUCCUGUGUUCAGACGCAUUAGGCAUUGAUGAUGGACGCAAACUGUUGCUGAAGUGCAUUUGAGCCCAUGGUCUCCUAGCCUCUGGUUUCGGAAACAUUCACCCAGCCAGACAUUUAAUUUUCAGUGAAGCAGGGAAAAGGGGACCUCUCUGGGAUAAAUAACAACUGAAAGAAUUUGUUGCAAACAGAGUUGCACAGCAAGAAAUGCUAAAGGAAGUUUUUCCACCUGAAGUGAAAUGGCAUGAGAUGCUAAUUCAGAUAAAGGAAUAAAACAGACUGCAAAUGGUGACUAGGAUGCCUCCCCUCGGGGGCUCUUCUCUGGGCGUCCAUAUGCAAGCUGCCCCACGUCUGGCCUUGCACCAGAAUUGUACUUCCAGGAACCUGCACCUCCCACUCGACUGACAGUGAUUGCAUCUUACUGCUGCAUCUCCCAGGACUGCAGCUGCCUAGCACAGAGCAGUGCUUGGGAAACAUGUGAAAGAGGAAGGGAGAAAAAGAAACAUCAGUGAAAGAGAGAAGCAUUGACUGGUUGUGCCCUGACCAGGAAUUGAACCUGCAACCUUUAGGUUACAGGAUGACGCUCCAACCAGCCGAACCACACUGGAUGAUUUUAACCACCAAAGAAAGGACCCAGAAUUAGAAGAGCUGAACCACCAUGAUCCAUGCAGGGUGCUUUGAGGAUGCCUAAUGCUGAAAGUACAAGCUCAGCACAUACCCAGGAGCAGGGGGGUUGCCACAUUUUGCAACUAGAAAAGUAAAUGUGUCUUUUUUUAUGCUGGGCCACCUUCAGGGAAGGGGACGAUAUCUCUGAGGCCAGGCUGGAGUGUCAGUUACAGAAAAACGCUUCCCCUCCAGCCUGAGGGCCCGGUCAAGGCUGACUGACCUCUGCACUGAGGCCUGUGGGGGGUCCAAGUGCAGAACUGCAUGGUCGGGCCCAUGGAGAAACCACAAGUCACAGGAAGCUCUCCAGCACCUGAAAUGCAUCUGGUCUGAGCUGAGCUGUGCUGGCAGCACUGGAUAAACACUGGGUUUUGAGGACAGUGUGUAAAGCGUAAAAAGAACAUAAAGUACUUCAAUAGUAUUUGAUAUCCAUUGCAGGUUGACAUGAUAUUUUGGACAUAGGUUAAAUAAAACAUUAAAAUUGGCUUCACUUGUUUCUUUUCACUUUUUAAAAUGUGGCCACUAGAAAAGGUCAUCAGCCCACAUAUGUGACUUGCACCAUAUUUCUAUUGGACAGCACUGCCCUGGACCUGGGGUUGGCAAGAGUUUUCUGUAAAGGUCCCAACAGUGCAACUCUCAGGCUUUGCAGGGCACCUGAUCUCCGGGAUAACUGCUGCCCUCUGCCCCUGCACAUCACAGCAGGCACAGCGAAUAGAUAAUACAGAAUAAAUGAGCGUGACUGUGUUCUGAUAAAACCCUAGGCACAAACUGGAUGGCAAGCAGCCUUGGGCCACGGGCUACGCUUUGCUGACCCUAGUCUCGAUUUAGUGCAGGGUCUGUGUUUAAAUAGUCUCUUCAGAGAACGUGCCUCUGGCCUCAGGAAGCACUGAUGCACGGUGCACUCGAGGUUCUGGUAACACGGCUCUGAGCCCAAGUCCUGAACGAAACCAAGUUCCCUCAUAGCAGUGUGAUGGCCAUGGGGGCUUGACUGGUGACGGGCC
Long non-coding RNA from Phyllostomus discolor (pale spear-nosed bat), 2141 nucleotides. RefSeq lists it as uncharacterized. The record is from RefSeq and is a predicted model, not a curated record. NCBI's taxonomy places the organism in Eukaryota, Metazoa, Chordata, Mammalia, Chiroptera, Phyllostomidae. The transcript is spliced from 4 exons.